CCUACGGGCGGCAGCAGUGAGGAAUAUUGGUCAAUGGGCUUACGCCUGAACCAGCCAAGUCGCGUGAGGGAAGACUGCCCUAUGGGUUGUAAACCUCUUUUGUCAGGGAGCAAUUGGCGCUACGUGUAGCGUUAUCGAGAGUACCUGAAGAAAAAGCAUCGGCUAACUCCGUGCCAGCAGCCGCGGUAAUACGGAGGAUGCGAGCGUUAUCCGGUUUUAUUGGGUUUAAAGGGUGCGUAGGCGGAAUGCCAAGUCAGCGGUAAAAUCGCGGGGCUCAACCUCGCUCCGCCGUUGAAACUGGCGUGCUUGAGUGGGCGAGAAGUAUGCGGAAUGCGUGGUGUAGCGGUGAAAUGCAUAGAGAUCACGCAGAACUCCGAUUGCGAAGGCAGCAUACCGGCGCCCAACUGACGCUGAAGCACGAAAGCGUGGGUAUCGAACAGGAUUAGAUACCCCAGUAGUC
Molecule: ribosomal RNA, 460 nt
Filed under: uncultured bacterium
Lineage: Bacteria
Description: partial 16S ribosomal RNA
Rfam family: Bacterial small subunit ribosomal RNA
Source: RNAcentral